RNAcentral lists this ribosomal RNA (535 nucleotides) under Bifidobacterium animalis subsp. lactis. RNAcentral's name for it is "bacterial SSU rRNA". It matches the Rfam family "Bacterial small subunit ribosomal RNA", at positions 163 to 700 of the family's 1533-position model. Lineage: Bacteria; Bacillati; Actinomycetota; Actinomycetes; Bifidobacteriales; Bifidobacteriaceae. The record is from RNAcentral.
GUAAUACCGGAUGCUCCGCUCCAUCGCAUGGUGGGGUGGGAAAUGCUUUUGCGGCAUGGGAUGGGGUCGCGUCCUAUCAGCUUGUUGGCGGGGUGAUGGCCCACCAAGGCGUUGACGGGUAGCCGGCCUGAGAGGGUGACCGGCCACAUUGGGACUGAGAUACGGCCCAGACUCCUACGGGAGGCAGCAGUGGGGAAUAUUGCACAAUGGGCGCAAGCCUGAUGCAGCGACGCCGCGUGCGGGAUGGAGGCCUUCGGGUUGUAAACCGCUUUUGUUCAAGGGCAAGGCACGGUUUCGGCCGUGUUGAGUGGAUUGUUCGAAUAAGCACCGGCUAACUACGUGCCAGCAGCCGCGGUAAUACGUAGGGUGCGAGCGUUAUCCGGAUUUAUUGGGCGUAAAGGGCUCGUAGGCGGUUCGUCGCGUCCGGUGUGAAAGUCCAUCGCCUAACGGUGGAUCUGCGCCGGGUACGGGCGGGCUGGAGUGCGGUAGGGGAGACUGGAAUUCCCGGUGUAACGGUGGAAUGUGUAGAUAUCGG